This 997-nucleotide ribosomal RNA is filed under the name Lactobacillus delbrueckii subsp. lactis. RNAcentral's name for it is "bacterial SSU rRNA". It matches the Rfam family "Bacterial small subunit ribosomal RNA", at positions 68 to 1065 of the family's 1533-position model. Lineage: Bacteria; Bacillati; Bacillota; Bacilli; Lactobacillales; Lactobacillaceae. The record is from RNAcentral.
GAUGCUUGGUACUUGUACAGCUGGUGAGCAGCGAACGGGUGAGUAACGCGUGGGGAAUCUGCCUUUGAGCGGGGAACAACAUUUGGAAACGAAUGCUAAUACCGCAUAACAACUUUAAACACAAGUUUUAAGUUUGAAAGAUGCAAUUGAUCACUCAAAGAUGAUCCCGCGUUGUAUUAGCUAGUUGGUGAGGUAAAGGCUCACCAAGGCGAUGAUACAUAGCCGACCUGAGAGGGUGAUCGGCCACAUUGGGACUGAGACACGACCCAAACUUAUACGGGAGGCAGCAGUAGGGAAUCUUCGGCAAUGGACGAAAGUCUGACCGAGCAACGCCGCGUGAGUCAAGAAGGUUUUCGGAUCGUAAAACUCUGUUGGUAGAGAAGAACGUUGGUGAGAGUGGAAAGCUCAUCAAGUGACGGUAACUACCCAGAAAGGGACGGCUAACUACGUGCCAGCAGCCGCGGUAAUACGUAGGUCCCGAGCGUUGUCCGGAUUUAUUGGGCGUAAAGCGAGCGCAGGUGGUUUAUUAAGUCUGGUGUAAAAGGCAGUGGCUCAACCAUUGUAUGCAUUGGAAACUGGUAGACUUGAGUGCAGGAGAGGAGAGUGGAAUUCCAUGUGUAGCGGUGAAAUGCGUAGAUAUAUGGAGGAACACCGGUGGCGAAAGCGGCUCUCUGGCCUGUAACUGACACUGAGGCUCGGAAGCGUGGGGAGCAAACAGGAUUAGAUACCCUGGUAGUCCACGCCGUAAACGAUGAGUGCUUGAUGUAGGGAGCUAUAGUUCUCUGUAUCGCAGCUAACGCAAUAGGCACUCCGCCUGGGGAGUACGACACAGGUAUGAUACUCAGAAGGGAUUGACGGCGGGCCCGCACAGCGGUGGAGCAUGUGAUAAAUACGAAGCACGCGAAGAGCUAGCAGGUCUGAACAUACUCGUGCUAUCUAGAGAUAGUAGUCUUCGGAACACGGAUUACAGGUCGUGCAUGCUGUCGUCAGCUCGAGU